Chloropicon primus is the source of this 73-nucleotide non-coding RNA. The record is from the annotation of a GenBank genome assembly. Lineage: Eukaryota; Viridiplantae; Chlorophyta; Chloropicophyceae; Chloropicales; Chloropicaceae.
GUCGCGAUGAUGUAGUGGUUAUCAUUUCUGCCUUACACGCAGACCGUCCUGGGUUCGACCCCCAGUCGCGGCA